GCGGUCGUGGUGGAAUGGUAGACACGCAAGUUUGAGGGACUUGUGGGCGUAGGCCUGUGUGAGUUCAAAUCUCAUCGACCGCACCA
Molecule: transfer RNA, 86 nt
Filed under: Erysipelotrichaceae bacterium
Lineage: Bacteria; Bacillati; Bacillota; Erysipelotrichia; Erysipelotrichales; Erysipelotrichaceae
Description: tRNA-Leu
Rfam family: tRNA
About the family: Transfer RNA (tRNA) molecules are approximately 80 nucleotides in length. Their secondary structure includes four short double-helical elements and three loops (D, anti-codon, and T loops). Further hydrogen bonds mediate the characteristic L-shaped molecular structure. tRNAs have two regions of fundamental functional importance: the anti-codon, which is responsible for specific mRNA codon recognition, and the 3' end, to which the tRNAs corresponding amino acid is attached (by aminoacyl-tRNA synthetases). tRNAs cope with the degeneracy of the genetic code in two manners: having more than one tRNA (with a specific anti-codon) for a particular amino acid; and 'wobble' base-pairing, i.e. permitting non-standard base-pairing at the 3rd anti-codon position.
Source: RNAcentral